This 437-nucleotide ribosomal RNA is filed under the name uncultured bacterium. RNAcentral's name for it is "partial 16S ribosomal RNA". It matches the Rfam family "Bacterial small subunit ribosomal RNA", at positions 29 to 507 of the family's 1533-position model. The record is from RNAcentral.
AGCGAACGCUGGCGGCAGGCUUAACACAUGCAAGUCGAGCGGGCAUCCUUGUGGUGUCAGCGGCAGACGGGUGAGUAACGCGUGGGAACGUGCCCUUCGGUUCGGAAUAACUCAGGGAAACUUGAGCUAAUACCGGAUACGUGCGAGAGCAGAAAGGUUUAUCUGCCGAAGGAUCGGCCCGCGUCUGAUUAGCUAGUUGGUGAGGUUAUGGCUCACCAAGGCGACGAUCAGUAGCUGGUCUGGGAGGAUGAUCAGCCACACUGGGACUGAGACACGGCCCAGACUCCUACGGGAGGCAGCAGUGGGGAAUAUUGGACAAUGGGGGCAACCCUGAUCCAGCCAUGCCGCGUGAGUGAUGACGGCCUUAGGGUUGUAAAGCUCUUUUCUUCGGGACGAUAAUGACGGUACCGGAGGAAUAAGCCCCGGCUAACUUCGUG